CCCCAGUCUGGGGCUCCGGGUAAAGUUUCAGCCUCCGCACGUGACUCGCCAUGGCCGCGGCCGUCGCCCCGCGCCCCCUGAGCCCCGGACCCCGAGGUCGCUCUCCCGGGACCCCGCGCCCCAACACCGCGCCGAGGCGCCAAGUGCGGGCGGACGCCGUGCCCGCGGGCACCCGGACGGGCUCAGCCCCCGCCGCGAGCUCCAUGGGACAUGGCCGCCCAGGCCGCCUUGCUGGGGCUCAUCUAGGAGUGGCGUUCCUCAUGUCGCCCUGAAGGCCAGCUCUGGACCUCCCCAGGAAAGUGCCACCUUGCAGAGCUGCUCCUCCGGAGCCCCGACCCUUGGGACACCCUCCAGCCGGCGGCCCCCAGUGGAGUGGGGGCUCCAGGAGGCCAGGCCUGGCUUGCUGACCUUGGACAGCAGCUGCAGGACGGGCCAGAGGGGGAGGCUGCCACCCAGACCCCUCUGGGCCCAGGCCCCAUGCCCCAAGGAGGGGCGGCCUGAAAGCUCCUGCAGCCCGUGCGGGCCUGUCCACCUGCCCUUCUGACUGUGGCUUCUUGGCAUGGCCAGCAACAGCAGCUCCUGCCCGACACCUGGGGGUGGGCACCUCAAUGGGUACCCAGUGCCCCCUACGCCUUCUUCUUCCCCCCGAUGUUGGGUGGACUGUCGCCGCGGGCACCCUGACCUCGCUGCCAGCACCGCUUCCGUGAGCGGAUACAGCACCCCGUCCCCGGCCAGUGAGUGCGGGUGUGCAGGGUCCCGGGGGCCACGAGCUGCAGAGCUGCUCAGAUGAGGGCGCGGAGCCGGGGCUUGCCGAGAAGGUGGUUGUGUCUGCGUGGGAGGCGCAGGGAGCGGUGGAGGCCCAGUGAGCGCCUAUAAAUAGCCGCAGGAACUGGACUCAGG
This 900-nucleotide long non-coding RNA is filed under the name Heterocephalus glaber (naked mole-rat). Its description in RNAcentral is "lncRNA (ENSHGLG00100033339.1)". Lineage: Eukaryota; Metazoa; Chordata; Mammalia; Rodentia; Bathyergidae. The record is from RNAcentral.